AGAGUUUGAUCCUGGCUCAGGACGAACGCUGGCGGCGUGCCUAAUACAUGCAAGUAGAACGCACAGUUUAUACCGUAGCUUGCUACACCAUAGACUGUGAGUUGCGAACGGGUGAGUAACGCGUAGGUAACCUGCCUGGUAGCGGGGGAUAACUAUUGGAAACGAUAGCUAAUACCGCAUAAUAUUAAUUAUUGCAUGAUAAUUGAUUGAAAGGUGCAAUUGCACCACUACCAGAUGGACCUGCGUUGUAUUAGCUAGUUGGUGGGGUAACGGCUCACCAAGGCGACGAUACAUAGCCGACCUGAGAGGGUGAUCGGCCACACUGGGACUGAGACACGGCCCAGACUCCUACGGGAGGCAGCAGUAGGGAAUCUUCGGCAAUGGACGGAAGUCUGACCGAGCAACGCCGCGUGAGUGAAGAAGGUUUUCGGAUCGUAAAGCUCUGUUGUAAGAGAAGAACGAGUGUGAGAGUGGAAAGUUCACACUGUGACGGUAUCUUACCAGAAAGGGACGGCUAACUACGUGCCAGCAGCCGCGGUAAUACGUAGGUCCCGAGCGUUGUCCGGAUUUAUUGGGCGUAAAGCGAGCGCAGGCGGUUAGAUAAGUCUGAAGUUAAAGGCUGUGGCUUAACCAUAGUACGCUUUGGAAACUGUUUAACUUGAGUGCAAGAGGGGAGAGUGGAAUUCCAUGUGUAGCGGUGAAAUGCGUAGAUAUAUGGAGGAACACCGGUGGCGAAAGCGGCUCUCUGGCUUGUAACUGACGCUGAGGCUCGAAAGCGUGGGGAGCAAACAGAAUUAGAUACCCUGGUAGUCCACGCCGUAAACG
RNAcentral lists this ribosomal RNA (825 nucleotides) under uncultured bacterium. Its description in RNAcentral is "bacterial SSU rRNA". It matches the Rfam family "Bacterial small subunit ribosomal RNA", at positions 8 to 808 of the family's 1533-position model. The record is from RNAcentral.